GAUGAACGCUGGCGGCGUGCCUAAUACAUGCAAGUCGAGCGAACAGACGAGGAGCUUGCUUCUCUGACGUUAGCGGCGGACGGGUGAGUAACACGUGGAUAACCUACCUAUAAGACUGGGAUAACUUCGCGAAACCGGAGCUAAUACAGGAUAACAUGUUGAACCGCAUGGUUCAACAGUGCAAGACGGUCUUGCUGUCACUUAUAGAUGGAUCCGCGUCGCAUUAGCUAGUUGGUAAGGUAACGGCUUACCAAGGCGACGAUGCGUAGCCGACCUGAGAGGGUGAUCGGCCACACUGGAACUGAGACACGGUCCAGACUCCUACGGGAGGCAGCAGUGGGGAAUCUUCCACAAUGGGCGAAAGCCUGACGGAGCAACGCCGCGUGAGUGAAGAAGGUCUUCGGAUCGUAAAACUCUGUUAUUAGGGAGGAACAAAUGUGUAAGUAACUAUGCACGUCUUGACGGUACCUAAUCAGAAAGCCACGGCUAACUACGUG
RNAcentral lists this ribosomal RNA (497 nucleotides) under uncultured bacterium. Its description in RNAcentral is "partial 16S ribosomal RNA". It matches the Rfam family "Bacterial small subunit ribosomal RNA", at positions 28 to 507 of the family's 1533-position model. The record is from RNAcentral.